GGUGAGAUGGCCGAGUUGGUUAUGGCGUCAGGUUAAGGUCACCUUAAUUACUACCAGUUUCCUGAUGGAGCAAUCCUCCUGGGUUCGAGUCCCAGUCUCAUCA
Molecule: transfer RNA, 103 nt
Organism: Metarhizium anisopliae BRIP 53293
Lineage: Eukaryota; Fungi; Ascomycota; Sordariomycetes; Hypocreales; Clavicipitaceae
Rfam family: tRNA
About the family: Transfer RNA (tRNA) molecules are approximately 80 nucleotides in length. Their secondary structure includes four short double-helical elements and three loops (D, anti-codon, and T loops). Further hydrogen bonds mediate the characteristic L-shaped molecular structure. tRNAs have two regions of fundamental functional importance: the anti-codon, which is responsible for specific mRNA codon recognition, and the 3' end, to which the tRNAs corresponding amino acid is attached (by aminoacyl-tRNA synthetases). tRNAs cope with the degeneracy of the genetic code in two manners: having more than one tRNA (with a specific anti-codon) for a particular amino acid; and 'wobble' base-pairing, i.e. permitting non-standard base-pairing at the 3rd anti-codon position.
Source: Rfam